Molecule: ribosomal RNA, 452 nt
Filed under: uncultured bacterium
Lineage: Bacteria
Description: partial 16S ribosomal RNA
Rfam family: Bacterial small subunit ribosomal RNA
Source: RNAcentral
GAUGAACGCUGGCGGCGUGCCUAACACAUGCAAGUCGAGCGAUUUACUUCGGUAAGGAGCGGCGGACGGGUGAGUAACGCGUGGGUAACCUGCCCUGUACACACGGAUAACAUACCGAAAGGUAUGCUAAUACGAGAUAAUAUGCUUUUAUCGCAUGGUAGAAGUAUCAAAGCUUUUGCGGUACAGGAUGGACCCGCGUCUGAUUAGCUAGUUGGUGAGGUAACGGCUCACCAAGGCGACGAUCAGUAGCCGACCUGAGAGGGUGAUCGGCCACAUUGGAACUGAGACACGGUCCAAACUCCUACGGGAGGCAGCAGUGGGGAAUAUUGCACAAUGGGCGAAAGCCUGAUGCAGCAACGCCGCGUGAGCGAUGAAGGCCUUCGGGUCGUAAAGCUCUGUCCUCAAGGAAGAUAAUGACGGUACUUGAGGAGGAAGCCCCGGCUAACUACGUG